RNAcentral lists this ribosomal RNA (253 nucleotides) under uncultured bacterium. RNAcentral describes it as "partial 16S ribosomal RNA". It matches the Rfam family "Bacterial small subunit ribosomal RNA", at positions 524 to 776 of the family's 1533-position model. The record is from RNAcentral.
GACGUAGGGGGCGAGCGUUGUCCGGAUUUAUUGGGCGUAAAGCGUGCGUAGGCGGCUGCGCAAGUCGGGUGUGAAACCCCGGGGCUCAACCCCGGAACUGCAUCCGAGACUGCGUGGCUAGAGGUAGGUAGGGGAGAUCGGAAUUCCUGGUGUAGCGGUGAAAUGCGCAGAUAUCAGGAGGAACACCGGUGGCGAAGGCGGAUCUCUGGGCCUUACCUGACGCUCAGGCACGAAAGCUAGGGGAGCGAACAGG